This 440-nucleotide ribosomal RNA is filed under the name uncultured bacterium. RNAcentral describes it as "partial 16S ribosomal RNA". It matches the Rfam family "Bacterial small subunit ribosomal RNA", at positions 338 to 795 of the family's 1533-position model. The record is from RNAcentral.
CCUACGGGGGGCAGCAGUGGGGGAUAUUGCACAAUGGGGGAAACCCUGAUGCAGCGACGCCGCGUGGGUGAAGAAGCACCUCGGCGCGUAAAGCCCUGUCAGCAGGGAAGAAAAUGACGGUACCUGAAGAAGAAGCCCCGGCUAACUACGUGCCAGCAGCCGCGGUAAUACGUAGGGGGCAAGCGUUAUCCGGAGUUACUGGGUGUAAAGGGGGCGCAGACGGCGUGGCACGCCAGGAGUGAAAGCCCGGGGCCCAACCCCGGGACUGCUCUUGGAACUGCGUGGCUAGAGUGCAGGAGGGGCAGGAGGAAUUCCUGGUGUAGCGGGGAAAUGCGUAGAUAUCAGGAGGAACACCGGUGGCGAAGGCGGCCUGCUGGACUGCAACUGACGUUGAGGCCCGAAAGCGUGGGGAGCAAACAGGAUUAGAUACCCGGGUAGUC